UAAGGAAUCUUGCGCAAUGGGCGAAAGCCUGACGCAGCGACACCGCGUGAGGGAUGAAGGCCUUCGGGUUGUAAACCUCUGUCAGGGGGAACGAAACUCCGGUUGGCGAAUAACCGAUCGGACUGACGGUACCUCCAAAGGAAGCGCCGGCUAACUCCGUGCCAGCAGCCGCGGUAAGACGGAGGGCGCGAACGUUGUUCGGAAUCACUGGGCGUAAAGGGCGCGUAGGCGGGCCGGUAAGUCGAGGGUGAAAUUCCAGGGCUCAACUCUGGAACUGCCUUCGAAACUGUCGGUCUAGAGUGCAGGAGAGGAAGGCGGAAUUCCAGGUGUAGCGGUGGAAUGCGUAGAUAUCUGGAAGAACACCAGUGGCGAAGGCGGCCUUCUGGACUGACACUGACGCUGAUGCGCGAAAGCUGGGGGAGCAAACAG
This 429-nucleotide ribosomal RNA is filed under the name uncultured bacterium. RNAcentral describes it as "bacterial SSU rRNA". It matches the Rfam family "Bacterial small subunit ribosomal RNA", at positions 355 to 775 of the family's 1533-position model. The record is from RNAcentral.